CAGUGAAAUAUCUGUCUCCUUGUUCUAUCUGUGAUAUAACUGAAGCACCAGCAAUAACAAGGGACUGAAGGCACUGUGAGACAUUUUCGUCAGAGACACAUCUGACUCCCUUCCCCAGCAGUCACAGCUCCCCUUCCCUCUGUUUCCCCUGUGACCCCACCCUGAGCCCCAGCAGUCCUCCGCCCCAGCAUGAAUGACAUCAGUGUGGUCAGAGAGGGCUGGCUCCAUAAGAGGGGAGAGUACAUUUAAGGACGUGGAGGCCGCGGUACUUCAUCCUGAAGAGUGAUGGCUCCUU
Salvelinus sp. IW2-2015 is the source of this 295-nucleotide non-coding RNA. NCBI's taxonomy places the organism in Eukaryota, Metazoa, Chordata, Actinopteri, Salmoniformes, Salmonidae. The record is from RefSeq and is a predicted model, not a curated record.